GACGAACGCUGGCGGCGUGCUUAACACAUGCAAGUCGAACGGAAAGGCCCUGCUUUUGUGGGGUUCUCGAGUGGCGAACGGGUGAGUAACACGUGAGUAACCUGCCCUUGACUUUGGGAUAACUUCAGGAACCUGGGGCUAAUACCGGAUAGGAGCUCCUGCUGCAUGGUGGGGGUUGGAAAGUUUCGGCGGUUGGGGAUGGACUCGCGGCUUAUCAGCUUGUUGGGGGGGUAGUGGCUUACCAAGGCUUUGACGGGUAGCCGGCCUGAGAGGGUGACCGGCCACAUGGGGACUGAGAGACGGCCCAGACUCCUACGGGAGGCAGCAGUGGGGAAUAUUGCACAAUGGGCGGAAGCCUGAUGCAGCAACGCCGCGUGCGGGAUGACGGCCUUCGGGUUGUAAACCGCUUUCGCCUGUGACGAAGCGUGAGUGACGGUAAUGGGUAAAGAAGCACCGGCUAACUACGUG
Molecule: ribosomal RNA, 468 nt
Filed under: uncultured bacterium
Lineage: Bacteria
Description: partial 16S ribosomal RNA
Rfam family: Bacterial small subunit ribosomal RNA
Source: RNAcentral